GUCUAUUAUGAAGUUAUUUAUAGUCCGGCCUGCUCCCUGACUAUAAAGUUAAAGAGCCGCGGUAAUUUGACCGUGCAAAGGUAGCAUAAUCAUUAGUUUCUUAAUUGGGAACUUGUAUGAAAGGUCUGACAAAGGAAAAGCUGUCUUUAUUGUAAAGGUUGAAUUUAACUUUUAAGUGAAAAGGCUUAAAUGAUUUAGAGGGACGAUAAGACCCUAUAAAGCUUUAUAUAAAAAAUAAUCAAAAUUGAAUUUAUAAUAAAAAUUUAAAUUAAUUAUUAUAUUUUAUUGGGGUGAUAUUAAUAAAAGUAAUAUUAACUGUUAAAAAAAAAUACGUGAAUAAAAGAAUUGAAUAUAUUAAUGAUCCUUGUUUAAAGAUUAAAAGAUUAAGUUACUUUAGGGAUAACAGCGUAAUUCUUCUUAAGAGUUCAUAUCGAAAGAAGAGAUUUUGACCUCGAUGUUGAAUUAAAAUAUCUGUGUAAAGUAGCCAUUACAUGAGAAGGUC
Molecule: ribosomal RNA, 502 nt
Filed under: Trapezia cymodoce
Lineage: Eukaryota; Metazoa; Arthropoda; Malacostraca; Decapoda; Trapeziidae
Description: partial 16S ribosomal RNA
Rfam family: Bacterial large subunit ribosomal RNA
Source: RNAcentral